Molecule: ribosomal RNA, 253 nt
Filed under: uncultured bacterium
Lineage: Bacteria
Description: partial 16S ribosomal RNA
Rfam family: Bacterial small subunit ribosomal RNA
Source: RNAcentral
UACGUAGGGUGCAAGCGUUGUCCGGAAUUAUUGGGCGUAAAGAGCUCGUAGGCGGUCUGUCGCGUCGGCUGUGAAAACUCGGGGCUCAACCCCGAGCCUGCAGUCGAUACGGGCAGACUAGAGUGCGGUAGGGGAGACUGGAAUUCCUGGUGUAGCGGUGAAAUGCGCAGAUAUCAGGAGGAACACCGAUGGCGAAGGCAGUGUUCUGGGCCAGUACUGACGCUGAGGAGCGAAAGCGUGGGGAGCAAACAGG